AAUCAACGCUGGCGGCGUGCCUAACACAUGCAAGUCGAACGCGAAAGUCCCGCAAGGGAUUAGUAGAGUGGCAAACGGGUGAGUAACACGUGGGUGACCUGCCUUCGAGUGGGGGAUAACGUCCCGAAAGGGACGCUAAUACCGCAUGACAUCCUGUCUUUUAACAGGCGGAGAUCAAAGCUGGGGAUCGCAAGACCUAGCGCUUGAAGAGGGGCCCGCGUCUGAUUAGCUAGNGGUGAGGUAACGGCUCACCAAGGCGACGAUCAGUAUCCGGCCUGAGAGGGCGGACGGACACACUGGGACUGAGACACGGCCCAGACUCCUACGGAGGCAGCAGUGGGGAAUUGUUCGCAAUGGGCGCAAGCCUGACGACGCGACGCCGCGU
This 385-nucleotide ribosomal RNA is filed under the name uncultured bacterium. RNAcentral describes it as "bacterial SSU rRNA". It matches the Rfam family "Bacterial small subunit ribosomal RNA", at positions 32 to 402 of the family's 1533-position model. The record is from RNAcentral.